UCCGCCUGGCUGCCCACCGAUUCCCAGUAGAAGAGCUGCUGCCCGUAGAACGUCGUCGUCUUCAUGAGCGGCGUGUCGCGGAUCUGGAGGACUGGGCGAUGACCGCGGCCUCGGGGACGCACCGGCGCUGCAGUUGAGGGAACUCUCCAGGACGUGGAGGACCACCACCUCACCCAGGGGGCGGCCGAUGGCCACCGUGCAGUCGGCCGUCGCCCGCGUCCCCGUCAUGUUGAUGGUCCCUGUGGCGCCGAGGUGGUGCUUCCCACAGGCCCCUGCAAAGGGAACGGAAACCGCAGAUGAGGGAACCGAGGAGAAGUCAACCGAGGGACCCGAGGUCAGCCAGCCGGCAAGUGACGGAGCGGGGACUAGAACCCAGGUCCCUCCGCCUCCCCGGCCCGAGCUCUACCCGCUGAGCCACGCUGCUUCCCCCGGACGGGAUCCGGUCGGGCGCGUCCGAGCGUCCGGGACGGAGAAGCCCAAAGAACGGGCAGAGGAGCCUCUCCGUGCCCAGACCGCGGGGAAGGCAGGGUCGGCACAGCCGUCCUCCUGAGGCCUCAGGGCAGAUCGGCGCCGGGAAGAGUCCCGAUUCCAGCCCUCGAAUCGGUGCUGUGGAUCCUCAAUCCAGGCGGUCCAGGAGCCGAGAGGGCGGCUCUCAGGGGCGUCUGGGCGGCACUGACCUGGCAAGGCACGGCUCCGGGUUGCACGGUUCCUGCUCCA
Molecule: long non-coding RNA, 717 nt
Organism: Ornithorhynchus anatinus (platypus)
Lineage: Eukaryota; Metazoa; Chordata; Mammalia; Monotremata; Ornithorhynchidae
Exons: 5
Source: RefSeq, a predicted model, not a curated record